This is a long non-coding RNA of Mastomys coucha (southern multimammate mouse), 945 nucleotides long. RefSeq lists it as uncharacterized. The record is from RefSeq and is a predicted model, not a curated record. NCBI's taxonomy places the organism in Eukaryota, Metazoa, Chordata, Mammalia, Rodentia, Muridae. The transcript is spliced from 4 exons.
AUCAGGAAGACUGUGCAUGCAAGUAAAGAGAUAUUUUAAAAAGUUAUGUCCUUGUUAAUGGGUUCUGGAGGGAAUCUAGGAAGGUCCCAUUUCUUAAAUAUUCUCUCAGACUAAGUAUUUCAGAAUUGUUGCUAUUUAUCAUAUGUGUGAACAAUGGUAUCAGAAAAUACAAAGGCUUUAUAUGCUUACUAGAUUUCUAAUGCACUGAGUCCACCUAAUAUCAGGAAAAGGAAACUUCUCUUUACAACUACAGAAAACCACAUUCAAUCAAUAUGCCAACUUGUGGAGCACAUUCUAAAUGGAUAUAUCUGAACUACAUGCCUAUUGACUUAGCCUCAAGGAACAUUGUGGAAGAAGCUACAGGAAGAUUGUAAGAGCCAGAGGAUAAAGAUAUUAGACACUGAAAGGACUAGGAAAGAAGGCGAAUUAGUCCCUGUUGCUCUUAAUAGUUUCUCUUAGAAAAUGGAAUCAGAGAAAACAAGGAUUUGUUUCCAUCAUUUCACAACAUUCCUGCACAUUGCCUAGUAGAAACCUUCAGUAUCCUGUGCAAACCUAUGAAAGCAUCAUAAUCCUGAGACAUGUAUAAACAUAAGGAACCAGUGUAUUUCAAGUAAAUAUGAAAAACUAUAAGCGCAAAGCACAGUGUAAAUGAAGUUAGGCCUCAGUAUACUUUUAACAGUCUAUUCUGCUUUCAAGUCAGCACAAAAAAAUAUAUAAAAAUGUCAUAAUUUGGGACCAUAAAAUGCUUUCAGGCUGUCUCAUGGUAUCAGUGAUACUGUCACUGCAUCCGUAUUUCUUUUGCAUUCAGAUUCAGCAUUCCAUAUUCCAUGACCAAGUUUCCAACUGUCAAUUUGUAACUGUUUGUUUAAGGCUCUUCUCUGAUCUUCAGAGACAUUGCAACCAGAGGACAAUAAUAAAGUAUAAACUGUAGCAAAUAAAUGUCUU